This 479-nucleotide ribosomal RNA is filed under the name Stutzerimonas stutzeri. RNAcentral describes it as "bacterial SSU rRNA". It matches the Rfam family "Bacterial small subunit ribosomal RNA", at positions 82 to 557 of the family's 1533-position model. Lineage: Bacteria; Pseudomonadati; Pseudomonadota; Gammaproteobacteria; Pseudomonadales; Pseudomonadaceae. The record is from RNAcentral.
GCUCCAUGAUUCNGCGGCGGACGGGUGAGUAAUGCCUAGGAAUCUGCCUGGUAGUGGGGGACAACGUUUCGAAAGGAACGCUAAUACCGCAUACGUCCUACGGGAGAAAGUGGGGGAUCUUCGGACCUCACGCUAUCAGAUGAGCCUAGGUCGGAUUAGCUAGUUGGUGAGGUAAAGGCUCACCAAGGCGACGAUCCGUAACUGGUCUGAGAGGAUGAUCAGUCACACUGGAACUGAGACACGGUCCAGACUCCUACGGGAGGCAGCAGUGGGGAAUAUUGGACAAUGGGCGAAAGCCUGAUCCAGCCAUGCCGCGUGUGUGAAGAAGGUCUUCGGAUUGUAAAGCACUUUAAGUUGGGAGGAAGGGCAGUAAGUUAAUACCUUGCUGUUUUGACGUUACCAACAGAAUAAGCACCGGCUAACUUCGUGCCAGCAGCCGCGGUAAUACNAAGGGUGCAAGCGUUAAUCGGAAUUACUGG